CGAAAGUUAGAGGUUUGAAGGCGAUCAGAUACCGCCCUAAUUCUAACCAUAAACGAUGCCAGCCAGCGAUCCGGCUGUGUUCCUCAAAUGACACGCCGGGCAGCUUCCGGGAAACCAAAGCUUUUGGGUUCCGGGGGAAGUAUGGUUGCAAAGCUGAAACUUAAAGGAAUUGACGGAGGGCUACCACCAGAAUUGGAGCUUGCGGUUCAAUUUGACUCAACGCAGCGAACUCUACCAGGCCAGGACACAGGAAGGAUUGACAGAUUAAGAGCUCUUUCUUGAUUUUGUGGGUAGUGGUGCAUGGCCGCUCUUGGUUAGUGUAGUGAUUUGUCUGGUUUAUUCUGAUAACUAACGAGGCUCUAGCCUACUAAAUAGACGCUCGGAUCAUUCCUAGUCCGGCGUUUCUUCUUAGAGGGACUGGCGGCGUUUAGCCGCACGAGGCAGAGCAAUAGCAGGUCUGUAACGCCCUUAGAUGUCCUGGGCCACACGCGUGCUACAUUGAAGGAAUCAUCGUGUGCUUUCCCUUUCCGACAGGAAUGGGUAACCCGUUGAACCUCCUUCGUGCUGGGGAUAGGGGAUUGAAACUAUCCCCCUUGAACGAGGAAAUUCUAGUAAGCGUGAGUCAUCAUCUCGCGUUGAUUAGGUCCCUGGCCCUUGUACACACCGCCCGUCGCUAUUACCGAUUGAAUGUCUUAGUGAGGACUUCGGAUUGGCUGUCGAUUUGGCUUUAGGGUCGAGCCGACGUGCCGAAAAGAUGUCCGAACUUGGUCAUUUAGAGGAAAUAAAAGUCGUAACAAGG
This 799-nucleotide ribosomal RNA is filed under the name Laminacauda plagiata. RNAcentral's name for it is "SSU rRNA". It matches the Rfam family "Eukaryotic small subunit ribosomal RNA", at positions 984 to 1799 of the family's 1831-position model. The record is from RNAcentral. Lineage: Eukaryota; Metazoa; Arthropoda; Arachnida; Araneae; Linyphiidae.